GGGUUGUAUUCCUUUGGUUAUUCUUCUCAACAUUAUGGUGGAGCUACCUUGUUCAGUGCUAAAGGGCUAUUGGCACUUUUCUCCAUCUUGAAAGAUCGCCUACCCAUCACUCAGUCAUCGUAUGCUUUGAAGGAGUGCUUCAGUGGGCAUCUCGCUUUGGCAUGGGAAGUAUUGAAAAAUUUUGUUGCUCUGGUUGAGGGGUUGCAGAGGUGGCCAUCUGGGCUUUUCGAUGCCUUGUCCUCCACAAUUAGGUCUUGGACCUUUCUAGAGGGCUUGCUUC
Molecule: long non-coding RNA, 280 nt
Filed under: Elaeis guineensis (African oil palm)
Lineage: Eukaryota; Viridiplantae; Streptophyta; Magnoliopsida; Arecales; Arecaceae
Description: long non-coding RNA (EGUI_LNC038673)
Source: RNAcentral